Molecule: ribosomal RNA, 497 nt
Filed under: uncultured bacterium
Lineage: Bacteria
Description: partial 16S ribosomal RNA
Rfam family: Bacterial small subunit ribosomal RNA
Source: RNAcentral
GAUGAACGCUGGCGGCGUGCCUAACACAUGCAAGUCGAGCGAACAGACGCGGAGCUUGCUCCUCUGACGUUAGCGGAGCACGGGUGAGUAACACGUGGAUAACCCACUUAUAAGACUGGGAUAACUUCGGGAAACCGGAGCUAAUACCGGAUAAUAUAUUGAACCGCAUGGUUCAAUAGUGAAAGACGGCUUUACUGUCACUUAUAGAUGGAUCCGCGCCGCAUUAGCUAGUUGGUAGGGUAACGGCUUACCAAGGCAACGAUGCGUAGCCGACCUGAGAGGGUGGUCGGCCGCACUGGAACUGAGACGCGGUCCAGGCUCCUACGAGAGGCAGCAGUAGGGAAUCUUCCGCAAUGGGCGAGAGCCUGACGGAGCGGCGCCGCGUGAGUGAUGGAGGUCUUCGGAUCGUAAAACUCUGUUAUUGGGGAAGAACAAAUGUGUAAGUAACUAUGCACGUCUUGACGGUACCUGGUCAGGAAGCCACGGCUAACUACGUG